This 4150-nucleotide long non-coding RNA is filed under the name Malus domestica (apple). RNAcentral describes it as "long non-coding RNA (MDOM_LNC018361)". The record is from RNAcentral. Lineage: Eukaryota; Viridiplantae; Streptophyta; Magnoliopsida; Rosales; Rosaceae.
AGUAGGAAAGUGCUUACAUGAAGGAGGAUUCCUAAUCGACGAAGGAUUCCUAAUCGACGAAGGAUUCCUAAUCGACGAAGGAUUCCUAAUCAACGAAGGAUUCCUAAUUGAAGAUGGAUUCCUAGAAGAACAAGGAUUCCUACUCCAACAAGGAUUCCUACUUGAAGUAGGAAAGUUAAGCCAAGGUUUCCUACUUUGGUUUGAUUUUUCCUAAUUGUCCCUAAAAGUUUCAGCAAUUAUGAAGACUUUCUAAGCAUUCUAGGACACAAAACAAAAGCCUAGAACCCUUUUGAACCCUUGCCGCACCCCCCUUUGCAUUUCCUCUUCCCUAUUUCCUGUUUUGAUGCUUUAAAACACGUUCCUUUUGUGUUUUAAACCCUAGCCGAAUUUCCCUUGCCCUUUCCCUUAAUUUUCUGAUUUGUUUCCUUAAUUCUAGAAGCUUUAAACUUAAUUCCUGAUUACCUAAUUAGCCUAGGGUUUUUAAUUUCCUAAUCCCUUUAAAUAAACAUGUUUGUGCAGCCACAAACAUAGCCAUUCAUCAAGAAAAUAAUCCUUCACGCCAGAAACCAUUCUCCAUCUUCAACAGCACCUAUCCUUCACCAUUCACCAUAUUUUCUGACCAAAAACCACCCUAGCCGUCCCAUACACCUAUCCCAGCCAUAAACCCAUCGUUCUACACCAUUCAUAACCCCCAAAACUCACCCAUUCGUGUGCAGCAGCAAGGAGAAAGAAGGAAGGACUCUUGGAUGCUUAAGCUUCAUCGUUGGUGCAUUCUAGGUGUAAUUCGUUUUAUGAUUUCAAUGUUUAAUUUCUUUUCCUUUCGUUUUGCUACGAACAUGAGUGGCUAAACCCCUAUUGGUUAGGGGUAAUUUCAAAGCCAUGACUAUGUAUGCAAGUUGAUUUGAUAAAUUCCAGUUAUGAGUUCUUGAAUCGUGAAUGCAAUUGGCUUAACUGUGCGAGUAAUAACUUAUUUGUGUUUGUUAAUUAGGGGUCGAUACUUAAUUGGCUUGCAUGAAUAUGUUGCUAGAAUAUAAGGUUGUUUCACAUAAUCGUCACACACUUAUAUUCAUAUGUAGUGAAGGUCGCUAGUCACGAUCGCGUUAAGUCCAAUUCCUAGCAUGAGUGACAUGAUGUCAUAGUUGCAAGUGCUUUGUCAAUGCUUAUAGUUUUCAUUGAACGUAAUGAUCUUUGAUUGUAUCUUUAUUAUGAUGUCAUGUAGGGAACUUUUGAGGAAUGCUUUGGGUUGUCGGAUGAUGUCAUCCAAUCCAAUAACACAAGGAAAACUUGAGAAUUAACUAGUGAUGUCACGGUUAAUUUGGGGCAUUGUCAUUCAUAAUUCAACGAAGGAAUAACUGGAAAUUGAGUCGUUUGCAUACUUGUCAUGUGUGGAGAAAGAGCCCCUAACUAGUUCAUCAUCCAUUUAAAACCCCAAAAACGUUUUCAAAAUCUGUUUUACUUUGCAACCUGUUUUAUCAAAUUUAUUUUCGUCCAAAUCAAAUCCUCAUUUACUUUGAAGUCUCAAUUUAGUUAGAAAGUGUUUUGGUUUAUGUUUUUAAGUAUUUUGAGUCAAGUUUUCACCCAAUUUCGUCCAAAUUAGUGUAGGUGCUCAAAACUGCCCAGAAAGUGGUUUUUAGGCAGUUUUGAGUCUUCUAGUUGCUGUUUUGAGUUUUUGUUUUGUUUUAGUGUUUUAAACUUUAGUUUUUCAUUCUUUGAGUCCAAAUUAGUGUUUUAAACUUUGUUUUUAAGUUUUUAAAUCAGUUUUCAAGUGUUUAGCAAUCCCUCCUAAUCCCCGGUCUAGAACGAUCCCUACUUACAUACUUUGCUACAAUUGUCAAAAGAGGGUUUAAUUUGUGUGCUUAAUAUAUUUCGCAUCAGACAUCAUAAUAGAGAUAUGAUCAAAGAUCAUUACGUUCAAUGAAAACCAUAAGCAAUGACAAAGCACUUGCAACUAUGACAUCAUGUCACUCAUGCUAGGAAUUGAACUUAACGCGAUUGUGACUAGCAACCUUCACUACAUAUGAAUAUAAGUUUGCAACGAUUAUGUGAAACAUCCUUAUACUCUAGCAUCAUAUUUAUGCAUGCCAAUUAAGUGUCGACCCCUAAUUAACAAACACAAAUACGUUAUUAAUCAAAUAGUUAAGCGAAUUGCAUUCACGAUUCAAGACCUCAUAAUUGGAAUUUAUCAAAUCAAAUUGCACACAUAGUCAUGGCUUUGAAAUCACCCUUAACCAAUAGGGGUUUAGCCACUCAUGUUCAUAGCAAAACAAAAGGAAAAGAAAUUACACAAUGAAAUCAUAAAACAAAUUACACCUAGAAUGCACCAACAAUGAAGCUUGAACAUCCAAGGAUCCUUCCUUCUUCUUUCUUGCUGCGGCACACAAGUGGGUGAGUGUAUGGAUUGGGUUUUGGGGGUUAUGGAUGGUGUAGAAGGGUGGAAUGGUGUUUAGGAUGGAUGUAUGGUGCGGCUAGGAGUAUUUUUGGGCAGAAACUAUGGAGAAUGGUGAAGGAUGGACGCGUCUAGGAGUGGUGGCUGGUUUCUGGCGUGAAUGGGAUUGAUUGGGGACGUUUGUGGCUGCCAAAAAGAAGUUUAUUUAAAGGGAUUUCAGGAAUUAAAACCCUAGGUUAUUUAGGUAAACAGAAAUUAAGUCAAAAGCUUCUAGAAAUAGGAAAUCAAAUCAGAAACUUAAGGGAAAGUAGGCUAAAGGGUGCGGCACUAACUUAAAAUAGAUUAGGAAAGUGUUUAAAAGCAAGGAAACAGGAAAUAACUCUCUCCCUUGCACAGCAAGGAAGAGGAAUGGGCAAGGUGUGCGGCAAGGAUGUGGACCAUGCAAGGAAUGUGUAAUUUGUGUCCUAGAAUGCUUAAAAGGCCUUCAAAGUUGUUGGAACAUAAGGACAAUUAGGAUUUAGGAAAUGCCAAACCAAGAUAGGAAACCUUGGCUUAACUUUCCUACUCCAAGUAGGAAUCCUUGUUGGAAUAGGAAUCCUUGUUCUUCUAGAAAUCCUCUUGUGAUUAGGAAUCCAUCUUCAAUUAGGAAUCCUUUGUCAUGUAAGCACUUUCCUACUUCAAUUAGGAAACCUUGUUCAAGUAGGAAUCAUCAUCUUCAAGUCUUCAAAUUCGUCCAAACCCUUGGCUCCAAAUAUGUGACAUUCAUUCCAAGCUCCAUUUUGCUCCAAAAGGCUCCAAAAUGCAUCUUUUUAUAUGCUUUGCCCUUAAAACCUGAAAACACAUAAAACUAGCUUAAAAGACUACUUUAACUAAGAAAACACCAUGGAAAUGCAUAAGAACUAGCUAACUAAGGCGCAUAAAUAUGCUCCUAUCAAUCCACCAUACCCAUUACAUCCACCAAACAUUCAUCCACCACACCCAUUACAUCCACUCAUUACCACAACACUCAUCACUACCACCUUAAUUAGAUGGUGGUCCUCUCCCUAGACUAUAAAUACAUCCACCCUUCACCAUAACAAAGGGGAUAAGACAAUCCACCCAUCCACCACAAAAAUUUACCACUCAUCUAUCAAACCACACUUUGUGCCGCAACAAAGAGAAGGGUGAGGACGCUUGGACGUGCUUGCCAUUCAAGUUGGAUUGUUGGAGCGUUUUUAGGUGUUUUCAUUCUUUUGUUUUCAAUGUCUAAAUUUGUUUAUCUUUGCUUUGUGAGCAUGGGGAACUAAACCCCCCUUAGCUAGGGGGGAAUUCGAAACCAUGUUCAUGCUUGCAAUAUGAUUUGAUUACUUUCAGUUGUGAUUCAUAUGUUGUGAAUUCAAUUUACUUAUCCAUUUGAAUUAAAACUGAUUUGUGUAUGUUGGUUGAGAGUGCACGCUUAAUUUUCAUGCAUAAAUCUGAUGCGAGGAUAUAAGGGAGUUUCACUUAAUCGUUAUGAACUUAUAUUCACAAGUAGUAAAGGUUGCUCGUCACAACCGUGUUAAGUAAAUUCUUGGCAUAAGUUUCAUGCAAUUCAUAGUUACAAGUGUUUCGUCAAUGCUUAUGAUUUUCAUAGAACUUAAUGAUUUUUGCUUGUAUCUCUAUUAUGCAAUUCAUGUAGGGAACUUGUGGGGAAUGCUUUGGGUUGUUGUAUGCAAUCAUCCAAUUCAAUGAAAUUAGGAAAAUGUGAGGGUUAAUUAGUGCAAUUCACAGUUAAUCUGGGGCGUU